RNAcentral lists this unclassified non-coding RNA (21 nucleotides) under Mus musculus (house mouse). Its description in RNAcentral is "oocyte_clustered_small_RNA11456". The record is from RNAcentral. Lineage: Eukaryota; Metazoa; Chordata; Mammalia; Rodentia; Muridae.
AGCCGUCUGGGUGCCGAGCUC